GUGUGUGUAGGUGUGUAGGUGUGUGUGUAGGUGUGUAUGGGAGGGAGGUGUGUAUAGGUGUGUGUAGGUGUGUAGGUGUGUGUGUAGGUGUGUAUGGGAGGGAGGUGUGUAUAGGUGUGUGUAGGUGUGUAUGGGAUUGUUAGGCCAAAGCUUUUCCUCUCAUUUCUUGGCAUAUUUUGCUAUGCUAUUUCACUGUGUGUGUGAGUGUGUUGUUUUGUGUCUCCCUCUCUUUCUCAUACUCUCUCUCUUUAAUCUCUAUUGCUCUCUUUCUCAUACUCUCUCUCUUUAAUCUCUAUUGCUCUCUUUCUCAUACUCUCUCUCUUUAAUCUCUAUUGCUCUCUUUCUCAUACUCUCUCUCUUUAAUCUCUAUUGCUCUCUUUCUCAUACUCUCUCUCUUUAAUCUCUAUCCCUCUCUUU
Oncorhynchus tshawytscha (Chinook salmon) is the source of this 417-nucleotide long non-coding RNA. The record is from Ensembl. Lineage: Eukaryota; Metazoa; Chordata; Actinopteri; Salmoniformes; Salmonidae.